Molecule: small nuclear RNA, 23 nt
Filed under: Arabidopsis thaliana (thale cress)
Lineage: Eukaryota; Viridiplantae; Streptophyta; Magnoliopsida; Brassicales; Brassicaceae
Description: snRNA_04987
Source: RNAcentral
CUAGAUUGAGAUUUCUCAUGAUA